GAGGAUAUAGCUCAGUGGUAGAGUGAGUGCCUAGCAGGAAUGAGAUCCUGGGUUCAAUCCCCAGUACCUCCA
RNAcentral lists this transfer RNA (72 nucleotides) under Camelus ferus (Wild Bactrian camel). It matches the Rfam family "tRNA". From Rfam's summary of the family: Transfer RNA (tRNA) molecules are approximately 80 nucleotides in length. Their secondary structure includes four short double-helical elements and three loops (D, anti-codon, and T loops). Further hydrogen bonds mediate the characteristic L-shaped molecular structure. tRNAs have two regions of fundamental functional importance: the anti-codon, which is responsible for specific mRNA codon recognition, and the 3' end, to which the tRNAs corresponding amino acid is attached (by aminoacyl-tRNA synthetases). tRNAs cope with the degeneracy of the genetic code in two manners: having more than one tRNA (with a specific anti-codon) for a particular amino acid; and 'wobble' base-pairing, i.e. permitting non-standard base-pairing at the 3rd anti-codon position. Lineage: Eukaryota; Metazoa; Chordata; Mammalia; Artiodactyla; Camelidae. The record is from Rfam by way of RNAcentral.